RNAcentral lists this ribosomal RNA (253 nucleotides) under uncultured bacterium. Its description in RNAcentral is "partial 16S ribosomal RNA". It matches the Rfam family "Bacterial small subunit ribosomal RNA", at positions 524 to 776 of the family's 1533-position model. The record is from RNAcentral.
UACGUAGGGGGCGAGCGUUGUCCGGAUUCAUUGGGCGUAAAGCGCGCGCAGGCGGUUGGGGGAGCCCGGCGUGAAAGCCCCCAGCUCAACUGGGGGAGGCCGUCGGGGACCUUCCGACUGGAGGCCGGUAGGGGCGAGCGGAAUUCCCGGUGUAGUGGUGGAAUGCGUAGAUAUCAGGAGGAACACCGGUGGCGAAGGCGGGUCUCUGGGCCUGCACUGACGCUGAGGAGCGAAAGCGUGGGGAGCGAACAGG